RNAcentral lists this ribosomal RNA (277 nucleotides) under uncultured eukaryote. RNAcentral describes it as "partial 18S ribosomal RNA". It matches the Rfam family "Eukaryotic small subunit ribosomal RNA", at positions 21 to 309 of the family's 1831-position model. The record is from RNAcentral.
UAGUCAUAUGCUUGUCUAAAGGACUAAGCCAUGCAUGUCUAAGUAUAAGCAAUUUAUACUUGCGAAACUGCGAAUGGCUCAUUAAAUCAGUUAUAGUUUACUUGAUAGUUUCUUGCUACAUGGAUACCGGUGGCAAAGUACCGCUAAUACAUGCAACAACCCCGCAAGGGGUGUAUUUAUUAGAUACAAACCAACCUGGGCAACCAGUGUAUGUUGAAUCAUAAUAACUUCACGAAUCGCAUGGCCUUGAGCUGGCGAUGAAUCAUUCAAAUUUCUG